GCGGGCAUCGUAUAAUGGCUAUUACCUCAGCCUUCCAAGUUGAUGAUGCGGGUUCGAUUCCCGCUGCCCGCUCCA
RNAcentral lists this transfer RNA (75 nucleotides) under Escherichia coli. RNAcentral describes it as "tRNA-Gly". It matches the Rfam family "tRNA". From Rfam's summary of the family: Transfer RNA (tRNA) molecules are approximately 80 nucleotides in length. Their secondary structure includes four short double-helical elements and three loops (D, anti-codon, and T loops). Further hydrogen bonds mediate the characteristic L-shaped molecular structure. tRNAs have two regions of fundamental functional importance: the anti-codon, which is responsible for specific mRNA codon recognition, and the 3' end, to which the tRNAs corresponding amino acid is attached (by aminoacyl-tRNA synthetases). tRNAs cope with the degeneracy of the genetic code in two manners: having more than one tRNA (with a specific anti-codon) for a particular amino acid; and 'wobble' base-pairing, i.e. permitting non-standard base-pairing at the 3rd anti-codon position. The record is from RNAcentral. RNAcentral also lists the same sequence under 6 other names. Lineage: Bacteria; Pseudomonadati; Pseudomonadota; Gammaproteobacteria; Enterobacterales; Enterobacteriaceae.